Molecule: ribosomal RNA, 1509 nt
Filed under: metagenome
Description: bacterial LSU rRNA
Rfam family: Bacterial large subunit ribosomal RNA
Source: RNAcentral
UAGGAGAGGUCGCAAGACGUAUCCGAUGGACAACAGGUUUAGAUUCCUGUACCGCAUAUAAACAGAACUGUGGGGACGCAUGUGGAAAGCAUAAGCCGGGAAUGGAAAGACCGGUACAAGCGAGGUAGGUGUGUGACAGGCAAAUCCGUCAUAUAAGCCGAAGACGUGAUGUGGAGCGAAAUUUAGUAGUGAAGUAUGUGAGCCAUGUGCCGAGAAAAGCCGCUAUUGUUUUAUAUGUGCCCGUACCGUAAACCGACACAGGUGGAUGAGGAGAAAAUCCUAAGGCCGACGGAAGAAGCAUUGUCAAGGAAUUCGGCAAAACGACCCCGUAACUUCGGGAGAAGGGGUGCCCACUGAAUGGUGGGCCGCAGAGAAUAGGCUCAAGCAACUGUUUAGCAAAAACACAGGUCUAUGCGAAACCGAAAGGUGAAGUAUAUGGGCUGACGCCUGCCCGGUGCUGGAAGGUUAAGAGGAGAGGUUAGCGUAAGCGAAGCUUUGAAUUUAAGCCCCAGUAAACGGCGGCCGUAACUAUAACGGUCCUAAGGUAGCGAAAUUCCUUGUCGGGUAAGUUCCGACCCGCACGAAAGGCGUAAUGAUUUGAGCACUGUCUCGACAAUGCAUCCGGUGAAAUUGAAGUACCAGUGAAGAUGCUGGUUACCCGCGCCAGGACGGAAAGACCCCAUGGAGCUUUACUCCAGUUUGAUACUGGGAUUCGGUACUGCACGUACAGGAUAGGUGGGAGACUGAGAACUAUGGACGCCAGUCUGUAGGGAGUCGCUGUUGGGAUACCACCCCUGUAGUACUGGGUUUCUAACCAUCUGCCGUGAUCCGGCAGUGGGACAAUGUCAGGCGGGGAGUUUGACUGGGGCGGUCGCCUCCGAAAGGGUAUCGGAGGCGCUCAAAGGUUCCCUCAGAAUGGUCGGAAACCAUUUGAAGAGUGCAAAGGCAGAAGGGAGCUUGACUGCGACACCGACGGGUGGAGCAGGUACGAAAGUAGGACUUAGUGAUCCGGUGGUAUAAAGUGGGAUUGCCAUCGCUCAACGGAUAAAAGCUACCCUGGGAUAACAGGCUUAUCACUCCCAAGAGUUCACAUCGACGGAGUGGUUUGGCACCUCGAUGUCGGCUCAUCGCAUCCUGGGGCUGUAGCAGGUCCCAAGGGUUGGGCUGUUCGCCCAUUAAAGCGGUACGCGAGCUGGGUUCAGAACGUCGUGAGACAGUUCGGUCCCUAUCCGGCGCGGGCGGAGGAUAUUUGAGAGGAGCUGUCCUUAGUACGAGAGGACCGGGAUGGACGGACCACUGGUGUAUCUGUUGUCGACCAACGGCAUGGCAGAGUAGCCAAGUCCGGAAGGGAUAAACGCUGAAGGCAUCUAAGCGUGAAGCCCCCCUCAAGAUGAGAUAUCCCUCCUUCGGGAGUAAGACCCCUUGAAGACUACAAGGUAGAUAGGGCAGAGGUGGAAGUGAGGCAACACAUGGAGCUGACUGUUACUAAUAGGUCGAGGGCUUGAUCAA